Molecule: ribosomal RNA, 253 nt
Filed under: uncultured bacterium
Lineage: Bacteria
Description: partial 16S ribosomal RNA
Rfam family: Bacterial small subunit ribosomal RNA
Source: RNAcentral
UACAGAGGAUGCAAGCGUUAUCCGGAAUGAUUGGGCGUAAAGAGUUCGUAGGUGGUUUGUUAAGUCUGAUGUUAAAGAUUGGGGCUCAACCCUGAAACUGCAUUGGAUACUGGCAGACUUGAGUGUGGUAGAGGCUAGUGGAAUUCCCAGUGUAGCGGUGAAAUGCGUAGAUAUUGGGAAGAACACCGGUGGCGUAGGCGACUAGCUGGGCCAUAACUGACACUGAGGAACGAAAGCCAGGGUAGCGAAUGGG